Molecule: long non-coding RNA, 850 nt
Organism: Cyanistes caeruleus (blue tit)
Lineage: Eukaryota; Metazoa; Chordata; Aves; Passeriformes; Paridae
Source: RefSeq, a predicted model, not a curated record
AAUCAGAUGUGCUCAGGCCCUGACUAAGAAGCUUAAUUAUUCCUGGAACUUAGGAAGAGAUAAGAUACCUUCAAAAAUUUAUCUAAUUUAUGACUUCCCUACUCCAUGUAGACUUUCCUAUGGACAGUAAGGAGCUGUACAUCUUGGAAAAUACAAUUAUUGGUGUCUGUAAAUCCUGUGCUAACAACACCUAGUACCAGGAACACAAAAUACAGAUUUCUGAAACCGGCUCAAAUAAUUCCAGAAAUUCUUCUGUGGCUUUGAAGCAUCUUCCAGAAAAGCUCUGUCAAGUGAUACAGGAUUUUAUUGUGAUUAAAGAAACAACUCCUAGUAUGCCUCAGAAGCAGAGUGGCCAGCCAGUAAACGGAGGUGAUGAUUCUCCCCCUCUACUCCACUCUGAUGAGAUCCCUCCUGGAGUACUGCAUCCAGCUUCUUCCAACAUUAGAAGAAUAUGACCUGCCAUGAAGAUAAUUAAGGGGCUGGAGCACCUCUCCCAGGACACACAGAAUGUUGGGAAUGUUCAGACUGGAAAAGAGAAGGCUCCAGAGAGACUUUACAGCUCCUUCCACUACCUAAAGGGGGCCUAUAAGAGAAAUGCAGUCACUUUUUACUAGGAUUUGUACUGACAGGACAAGGGGGAAUAGCUUUAAACUGAAAGGGGGCAGAGUUAGAUUAGGCCUUAGGGAGAAAUCCUUCACUAUGCGAGCAGUGAGGCACUGGAACACAUUGCUCAAUUCAAGGAGGUAAAACUCACGACAACUAAAACUAAAGGGAAAUAUGAAGACCAGAAUCAGCUCAGCACUGAGGGAGACAAAUUAGAGUUUUGGCAUUUGAAAGGUGCUGGAAUCAC